Molecule: ribosomal RNA, 301 nt
Filed under: uncultured bacterium
Lineage: Bacteria
Description: partial 16S ribosomal RNA
Rfam family: Bacterial small subunit ribosomal RNA
Source: RNAcentral
CAGUAGCCACGGGAACACCGAGGAUGCAAGCGUUAUCCGGAAUGAUUGGGCGUAAAGCGUCUAUAGGUGGCUUUUCAAGUCCGCCGUCAAAUCCCAGGGCUCAACCCUGGACAGGCGGUGGAAACUACCAAGCUGGAGUACGGUAGGGACAGAGGGAACUUCCGGUGGAGCGGUGAAAUGCGUUGAGAUCGGAAAGAACACCAACGGCGAAAGCACUCUGCUGGGCCGACACUGACACUGAGAGACGAAAGCUAGGGGAGCAAAUGGGAUUAGAUACCCCCGUAGUCCCUGUCUCUUAUAC